AUCCAAUUGAUAUGUUCCAAAUAGGACUAAACGCGCGUCUUGAAU
This 45-nucleotide non-coding RNA is filed under the name Schistosoma mansoni. Lineage: Eukaryota; Metazoa; Platyhelminthes; Trematoda; Strigeidida; Schistosomatidae. The record is from RNAcentral.